Molecule: ribosomal RNA, 495 nt
Filed under: uncultured bacterium
Lineage: Bacteria
Description: partial 16S ribosomal RNA
Rfam family: Bacterial small subunit ribosomal RNA
Source: RNAcentral
AUGAACGCUGGCGGCGUGCCUAAUACAUGCAAGUCGAGCGAACAGACGAGGAGCUUGCUCCUCUGACGUUAGCGGCGGACGGGUGAGUAACACGUGGAUAACCUACCUAUAAGACUGGGAUAACUUCGGGAAACCGGAGCUAAUACCGGAUAAUAUAUUGAACCGCAUGGUUCAAUAGUGAAAGACGGUUUUGCUGUCACUUAUAGAUGGAUCCGCGCCGCAUAGCUAGUUGGUAAGGUAACGGCUUACCAAGGCAACGAUGCGUAGCCGACCUGAGAGGGUGAUCGGCCACACUGGAACUGAGACACGGUCCAGACUCCUAAGGGAGGCAGCAGUAGGGAAUCUUCCGCAAUGGGCGAAAGCCUGACGGAGCAACGCCGCGUGAGUGAUGAAGGUCUUCGGAUCGUAAAACUCUGUUAUUAGGGAAGAACAAAUGUGUAAGUAACUAUGCACGUCUUGACGGUACCUAAUCAGAAAGCCACGGCUAACUACGUG